UGGGGAAUAUUGGACAAUGGGCGAAAGCCUGAUCCAGCCAUGCCGCGUGUGUGAAGAAGGUCUUCGGAUUGUAAAGCACUUUAAGUUGGGAGGAAGGGCAGUAAGCGAAUACCUUGCUGUUUUGACGUUACCGACAGAAUAAGCACCGGCUAACUCUGUGCCAGCAGCCGCGGUAAUACAGAGGGUGCAAGCGUUAAUCGGAAUUACUGGGCGUAAAGCGCGCGUAGGUGGUUUGUUAAGUUGAAUGUGAAAGCCCCGGGCUCAACCUGGGAACUGCAUCCAAAACUGGCGAGCUAGAGUAGGGCAGAGGGUGGUGGAAUUUCCUGUGUAGCGGUGAAAUGCGUAGAUAUAGGAAGGAACACCAGUGGCGAAGGCGACCACCUGGGCUCAUACUGACACUGAGGUGCGAAAGCUUGGGGAGCAAACAGG
Molecule: ribosomal RNA, 429 nt
Filed under: Pseudomonadota bacterium
Lineage: Bacteria; Pseudomonadati; Pseudomonadota
Description: Proteobacteria bacterium partial 16S ribosomal RNA
Rfam family: Bacterial small subunit ribosomal RNA
Source: RNAcentral